AGAGUUUGAUCAUGGCUCAGGAUGAACGCUGGCGGCGUGCUUAACACAUGCAAGUCGAACGAGCAGCCAGAAGUGCUUGCACAUCUGGUGGGCGAGUGGCGGACGGGUGCGUAACACGUAGGAACCUGCCCUGAGGAGGGGGACAAUCGCUGGAAACGGCGGCUAAUCCCACAUGGUCUCCUAGAGAUGAGAGUCUCAUGGAGUAAAACUCCGGUGCCUCAGGAGGGGCCUGCGGCCUAUCAGGUAGUUGGUGAGGUAAAGGCUCACCAAGCCGAUGACGGGUAGGGGGCGUGAGAGCGUGGCCCCCCACACGGGAACUGAGACACGGUCCCGACGCCUACGGGCGGCAGCAGUGAGGAAUCUUGCCCAAUGGGGGAAACCCUGAGGCAGCGACGCCGCGUGCGGGAGGAAGGCCUUCGGGUCGUAAACCGCUUUUCUGGGGGACGAGGAAGGACGGUACCCCAGGAAUAAGUCCCGGCUAACUACGUGCCAGCAGCCGCGGUAAAACGUAGGGGGCGAGCGUUAUCCGGAAUUACUGGGCGUAAAGGGCGUCUAGGCGGCAGUCUAAGUCCUGCGUGAAAGCUCCCGGCUCAACUGGGAGAGGGCGUGGGAAACUGGGCAGCUAGAGAAUCGGAGAGGGGUGUGGAAUUCCCGGUGGAGUGGUGAAAUGCGUUGAGAUCGGGAGGAACACCAGAGGCGAANNNGGCACCCUGGCCGAGUUCUGACGCUAAAGCGCGACAGCGUGGGGAGCGAACGGGAUUAGAUACCCCGGUAGUCCACGCCGUANNNAUGANAACUAGGUGUNGGGGGUCCAAGGACGCUCGG
RNAcentral lists this ribosomal RNA (825 nucleotides) under uncultured bacterium. RNAcentral describes it as "bacterial SSU rRNA". It matches the Rfam family "Bacterial small subunit ribosomal RNA", at positions 8 to 843 of the family's 1533-position model. The record is from RNAcentral.